UCCUGGGACCGGCGGCCCUGUCCUUGCGCGUGGGAACAGUCAGGAACUAAAUGAAUUCUGGCUGGACUGUGCAUCAUUGAUAUUCUUGCAUUGUAAGUCAUUGUCUUUAUUUGUUUUGUUGCUUGUAAUCACAGGAUCUUGAUCAAGAAAUUUGAAAUACGUUGGCAGAGGAGUAGUGUUAUACUUUUCUUUAGAACUGGAGGGAAACUUUAAAAAAG
RNAcentral lists this long non-coding RNA (218 nucleotides) under Bos indicus x Bos taurus (hybrid cattle). RNAcentral's name for it is "lncRNA (ENSBIXG00000026745.1)". Lineage: Eukaryota; Metazoa; Chordata; Mammalia; Artiodactyla; Bovidae. The record is from RNAcentral.